RNAcentral lists this ribosomal RNA (512 nucleotides) under uncultured bacterium. Its description in RNAcentral is "bacterial SSU rRNA". It matches the Rfam family "Bacterial small subunit ribosomal RNA", at positions 28 to 526 of the family's 1533-position model. The record is from RNAcentral.
GACGAACGCUGGCGGCGUGCUUAACACAUGCAAGUGGAGCGACGAACCAGGCUUCGGCCUGGGGCAGAGCCGCGAACGGGUGAGUAACACGUGGGUAACCCACCCCGAUGACCGGGACAACCCGAGGAAACUCGGGCUAAUACCGGAUGUACUGCACUUUCAUAAGUAAGUGCAGGAAAGAUAGCUUCGGCCUUCGCAUCGGGACGGGCCCGCGGCGCAUUAGCUUGUUGGUGGGGUAACGGCCUACCAAGGCGACGAUGCGUAGCUGGUCUGAGAGGACGAUCAGCCACACUGGGACUGAGACACGGCCCAGACUCCUACGGGAGGCAGCAGUGGGGAAUCUUGCGCAAUGCGCGAAAGCGUGACGCAGCAACGCCGCGUGGGGGAAGAAGGCCUUCGGGUUGUAAACCCCUUUCAGUUGGGACGAAGCUUCCACGGUGAAUAGCCGUGUGGAGUGACGGUACCUUCACAAGAAGCCCCGGCUAACUACGUGCCAGCCGCCGCAGUAACAC